UGAGCUGAACAGUAAGAAAUUAGGAGUCAGAAUAAGACAUCAGAUGAAGAAAUGUGAAAUAGAAGGUAUAAGAAUAAAACACAGAUACACCAGAAUAAUAGAGGGAAGUGAACGUUCAAAACACUAACCGUCCGAUACUGAGCGCUGA
This is a long non-coding RNA of Sphaeramia orbicularis (orbiculate cardinalfish), 148 nucleotides long. RefSeq lists it as uncharacterized. The record is from RefSeq and is a predicted model, not a curated record. The transcript is spliced from 3 exons. Lineage: Eukaryota; Metazoa; Chordata; Actinopteri; Kurtiformes; Apogonidae.